UGGGGAAUUUUGGUCAAUGGGCGCAAGCCUGAACCAGCAACGCCGCGUGGGUGAUGAAGGCCUUCGGGUUGUAAAGCCCUGUCGGGAGGGACGAAUCCCCAGUGUAAUGAACUGGGUUGACGGUACCUUCAAAGGAAGCACCGGCUAACUCUGUGCCAGCAGCCGCGGUAAUACAGAGGGUGCAAGCGUUGUUCGGAAUUACUGGGCGUAAAGCGCGUGUAGGCGGUCUGCCAAGUCUGAUGUGAAAGCC
RNAcentral lists this ribosomal RNA (250 nucleotides) under uncultured bacterium. RNAcentral describes it as "partial 16S ribosomal RNA". It matches the Rfam family "Bacterial small subunit ribosomal RNA", at positions 355 to 602 of the family's 1533-position model. The record is from RNAcentral.